AAAACAUCGCCUCUUGACUAAAUAUAAGAGGUCCAGCCUGCCCACUGACAUAGUUUAACGGCCGCGGUACCCUAACCGUGCGAAGGUAGCAUAAUCACUUGUUCUUUAAAUAAGGACUCGUAUCAACGGCAUCACGAGGACUGUACUGUCUCCUUUCUCCAAUCAGUGAAACUGAUCUCCCCGUGAAGAAGCGGGGAUUAACCUAUAAGACGAGAAGACCCCAUGGAGCUUAAAGCCCAUAAACACCUCUACGCACUUAAAUCAACUUAGCCUAAGAGACCUGUCAGCCAGCUUUAGGUUGGGGGGACCGCGGAGAAAAACUUAACCUCCACGACAAACGGGCAAACGCCCUUAUCCAUGAAUUACAAUUCUAAGAAUCAAUAAACUGAUGUUUAAUGACCCGAUUAUUCGAUCAACGAACCAAGUUACCCUGGGGAUAACAGCGCAAUCUACUUUAAGAGCCCAUAUCGACAAGUAGGUUUACGACCUCGAUGUUGGAUCAGGGUAUCCUAGUGGUGCAGCCGCUACUAAAGGUUCGUUUGUUCAACGAUUAAAACCCUACAUGAUC
Molecule: ribosomal RNA, 568 nt
Filed under: Amolops wuyiensis (Sanchiang sucker frog)
Lineage: Eukaryota; Metazoa; Chordata; Amphibia; Anura; Ranidae
Description: partial 16S ribosomal RNA
Rfam family: Bacterial large subunit ribosomal RNA
Source: RNAcentral